AGUGAACGCUGGCGGUAGGCCUAACACAUGCAAGUCGAACGGCAGCACAGGAGAGCCUGCUCUCUGGGUGGCGAGUGGCGGACGGGUGAGGAAUACAUCGGAAUCUACUCUGUCGUGGGGGAUAACGUAGGGAAACUUACGCUAAUACCGCAUACGACCUACGGGUGAAAGCAGGGGACCUUCGGGCCUUGCGCGAUUGAAUGAGCCGAUGUCGGAUUAGCUAGUUGGCGGGGUAAAGGCCCACCAAGGCGACGAUCCGUAGCUGGUCUGAGAGGAUGAUCAGCCACACUGGAACUGAGACACGGUCCAGACUCCUACGGGAGGCAGCAGUGGGGAAUAUUGGACAAUGGGCGCAAGCCUGAUCCAGCCAUACCGCGUGGGUGAAGAAGGCCUUCGGGUUGUAAAGCCCUUUUGUUGGGAAAGAAAUCCAGCUGGCUAAUACCCGGUUGGGAUGACGGCACCCAAAGAAUAAGCACCGGCUAACUUCGUGCCAGCAGCCGCCGUAA
Molecule: ribosomal RNA, 506 nt
Filed under: uncultured bacterium
Lineage: Bacteria
Description: partial 16S ribosomal RNA
Rfam family: Bacterial small subunit ribosomal RNA
Source: RNAcentral